GAUGGCGGUAGGUGAGCGUCCCAACUGCAGCGAAGCCAGACCGUAAGGGCUGGUGGAGCGGUUGGAAGUGCUGAUGCCGAAAUGAGUAGCGAUAAAGGGGGUGAGAAACCCCCUCGCCGUAAACCCAAGGUUUCCUGGGGCAGGUUAAUCCUCCCAGGGUUAGCCGGAUCCUAAGCUGAGGCCGAAAGGCGUAGGUGAUGGGGAGCAGGUUAAUAUUCCUGCGCCAUCUUGUAGACGUUGAACCAAGAGAGGACGGAGAAGGUUAGGCGAGCCGGGUGUUGGAUGUCCCGGUCCAAAGCCGUAGGCGUGUCCCGUACGAUUAAAAGGCGGGGCUUUAACGUCGAGAGCUGAUGGCGAGCGCGUUAGCGCGAAGUCGUUGAUACCACGCUUCCAAGAAAAGUCUCGUGGGGAGUCUACAGGGUGUCCGUACCGCAAACCGACACAGGUGGGUGAGGAGAAAAUCCUAAGGCGAUUGAGAGAACUCUCUCCAAGGAACUCGGCAAAUUACCACCGUAACUUCGGAAGAAGGUGGGCCCUCCGUAGGUGUAGUCGUACAGACGAAGCCGAUGAGGGUUGCAGAGAAAUGGCGGUAGCUACUGUUUACCAAAAACACAGGACUCUGCGAAGACGACAAGUCGACGUAUAGGGUCUGACUCCUGCCCGGUGCUGGAAGGUUAAGGGGAUUCGUCAGCCGCAAGGCGAAGCGAUGAUCCGAAGCCCCAGUAAACGGCGGCCGUAACAAUAACGGUCCUAAGGUAGCGAAAUUCCUUGUCGGGUAAGUUCCGACCUGCACGAUGGAGUAACGACUUCCGCGCUGUCUCGGAGAGGGACUCAGCGAAAUUGAAAUAGCUGUGCCGAUGCAGUUUACCCGCAGCAAGACGGAAAGACCCCGUGAACCUUUACUACAACUUGACAGUGACACUAGGGAUUGACUGUGUAGGAUAGGUGGGAGCCUUUGAAACCGGGCCGCUAGGUUCGGUGGAGGCAACGGUGAAAUACCACCCUGUUGAUUUCUGGUGUCUAACCGUGUCCCAUAAUCUGGGAUCGGGACACUGUCUGGUGGGUAGUUUGACUGGGGCGGUCGCCUCCCAAAGCGUAACGGAGGCGCGCGAUGGUUCCCUCAGCCCGAUUGGAAACCGGGCGGCGAGUGCAAUGGCAUAAGGGAGCUUAACUGCGAGACAGACAUGUCGAGCAGGUGCGAAAGCAGGUCAUAGUGAUCCGGUGGUUCUGAAUGGAAGGGCUAUCGCUCAACGGAUAAAAGGUACUCCGGGGAUAACAGGCUUAUCUCCUCCAAGAGUUCACAUCGACGAGGAGGUUUGGCACCUCGAUGUCGGCUCAUCGCAUCCUGGGGCUGGAGCAGGUCCCAAGGGUUUGGCUGUUCGCCAAUUAAAGCGGUACGCGAGCUGGGUUCAAAACGUCGAGAGACAGUUUGGUCCCUAUCUGCUGUGGGCGUAGGAUACUUGAGCGGAUCUGUCCUUAGUACGAGAGGACCGGGAUGGAGACACCUCUGGUGUACCAGUUGUCACGCCAGUGGCAUCGCUGGGUAGCCAUGUGUCGAUUGGAUAACCGCUGAAAGCAUCUAAGCGGGAAACCGACCUCAAGAAUAGGUAUCCCGGGGGAAACCCCCUGAAGACCCGUCGAAGACUACGACGUUGAUAGGCCGGGUGUGUAAGCGUGGCAACACGUUGAGCUAACCGGUACUAAUUGGUCGUGCGGCUUACU
Molecule: ribosomal RNA, 1722 nt
Filed under: metagenome
Description: bacterial LSU rRNA
Rfam family: Bacterial large subunit ribosomal RNA
Source: RNAcentral